RNAcentral lists this ribosomal RNA (465 nucleotides) under Vreelandella stevensii. RNAcentral's name for it is "partial 16S ribosomal RNA". It matches the Rfam family "Bacterial small subunit ribosomal RNA", at positions 338 to 795 of the family's 1533-position model. The record is from RNAcentral. Lineage: Bacteria; Pseudomonadati; Pseudomonadota; Gammaproteobacteria; Oceanospirillales; Halomonadaceae.
CCUACGGGAGGCAGCAGUGGGGAAUAUUGGACAAUGGGCGAAAGCCUGAUCCAGCCAUGCCGCGUGUGUGAAGAAGGCCUUCGGGUUGUAAAGCACUUUCAGUGGGGAAGAAAGCCUUGGGGCUAAUACCCUCGAGGAAGGACAUCACCCACAGAAGAAGCACCGGCUAACUCCGUGCCAGCAGCCGCGGUAAUACGGAGGGUGCGAGCGUUAAUCGGAAUUACUGGGCGUAAAGCGCGCGUAGGCGGUCUGAUAAGCCGGUUGUGAAAGCCCCGGGCUCAACCUGGGAACGGCAUCCGGAACUGUCAGGCUAGAGUGCAGGAGAGGAAGGUAGAAUUCCCGGUGUAGCGGUGAAAUGCGUAGAGAUCGGGAGGAAUACCAGUGGCGAAGGCGGCCUUCUGGACUUACACUGACGCUGAGGUGCGAAAGCGUGGGUAGCAAACAGGAUUAGAUACCCCGGUAGUC